AACAGGAAGUAUCAAAAUCAGACGUAAGACGGGACACAAACACAAACUUCACCAACAUGUAUGACAGUACCGCCCCCCUAAGGCCGAAUUCCAGGCGGCCUUGGAAUGUCCGGAUGGUCUCUGUAAAAAUCUCGAACGAGAUCAGGGUCCAUGAUGAGGCUGGCAGCCAACCCUCCGGGCUGUAUGCCUCCCAGUCUACGAGGUACUGCCAGCCUCUGCCGCGCUUCCGUACUGCCAACAGCUUCUUCACAGUGUAGACCGGACCACCGUCGAUCAUUCGAGGGGGCGGGGGGGGCUUCGGAUCUGGCACCAUACUGCUCUCCUUGACUGGUUUUAUUUUGCUAACAUGAAAUGUGGGGUGAACACGAAGCGACCUGGGCAGGCGGAGGCGUACAGCAGCUGGGUUGAUCACUCUGGACACGGGGAACGGGCCGACGAACCGUGGGGCCAGCUUGCGUGACUCCACCUGCAGGGGCAGUUCCUUGGCCGCGAGCCACACUCGCUGGCCGGGCUGAUAAACCGGAGCCGGUCUCCAUCUGCGGUCUGCUGCCCACUUGACCCUGUCCCCCUGUCUGAUCAGCGUCUGGCGAGUUGCUGCCCAGAUGCAGCGGCGGACCAGGGCGUGAGCAGAGGGCACAGACACCUCUGAUUCGGACUCUGGUAAAAAGGGGGGUUGGUAGCCGAACACACAUUGGAAGGGGGACAUACCAGUGGCGGAAGUGGGGAGGGAGUUAUGGGCAAACUCGACCCACGUCAGGUGCUUGCUCCAGACUGCAGGGCACUGCGCCACCAGGCACCGGAGGCCGGUUUCCAGCUGUUGCUGGGGGCGCUCGGUCUGGCUGUUAGCCUUAGGGUGGUACUCUGAUGUAAGGCUCGCCGUGGCUCCGAUGAGCUUGCAAAACUCCUUCCAGAACCUGGAGACGAAUUUUGGCCCCCGAUCCGACACAAUGUCCCGGGGGAAACCGUGAAUCCUAAAAACACUGUCCAUCAUCACCACUGCCGUCUCCUUAGCUGAUAGCAGUUUAGGUAGGGCUAUGUAGUGCACCAUUUUGGAGAAUCUGUCCACCACAGUCAGGAUAGCGGUGUUACCGUUUGACGUCGGGAGCCCCGUGACAAAGUCUACCGAGAUCUCGGCCCAUGGCCGGGACGGAAUGGGCAGUGGCUGGAGCAAGCCUGCCCGGGUUCUGGAGGAGUUCUUGUUUCUGGCACAGACUGAGCAUGCCUCCACGUACUCCCGGACCUCCGGCUCCAUGGCGGGCCACCAGAACCUCUGCGUGAUGGCAAACAUGGUCCGCCGUACGCCCGGAUGGCAGGUGAGCAGGGACGAGUGAGCCCAGUGAAUCACCUGAGGGCGCAAUUCCACAGGGACAAACAGGCGAUUAUCAGGACACCCACGAGGUGGAGGGGUCUCACCGUUAGCCUGCUUCACCUUGGAUUCUAUUGGCCAGGUCACUGCUCCAACCACACAGUUUAGUGGGAGGAUAGGUUCAGGUGCCCUGGCCACCGACUCGGGGCUGAACAACCGUGACAGAGCAUCAGGCUUGGUGUUCCUUGACCCCGGUCUGUAGGAUAAAGAAGGGGUUAGCGGUUAAAAAACAAUGACCAUCGGGCUUGACGCGAAUUGAGUCGCUUGGCUUUCCUAAUAUAUUGUAGAUUUUUGUGAUCAACAUGUCCAAACCAAAAACGGGUGAGCCCCCUCGAGCCAGUGCCGCCAUUCCUCCAAUGCUGUCUUCACUGCCAGUAUCUCCCGGUCCCCCACGUCAUAGUUCCGCUCUGCUGGCGUCAAUCGCGGGGCAAAAAGGCACAGGGGUGAAGCUUGUGGUCCCCUUCGGCUCGCUGGGAGAGGAUGGCCCCGAUCCCCUCGCUGGAGGCGUCCACUUCCACCACGAACUGACGAGCCGGGUCGGGGAGUGUGUGGAUGGGAGCUGUGGUGAAUCUCCGCUUCAGCUCCCGGAAGGCUGCGUCUGCGUCGGCCGACCAACGGAACGGGACCUGUGGGGGAGUGAGAGCAUGGAGCGGGGCUGCUGUCGUGCUGAAGCCUCUGAUAAACCGCCUGUAGAAGUUGGCAAAACCGAGGAAUUGCUGCAACUUCUUGCGAUUAUCAGGUGUAGGCCAAUCAGCUACCGCACUUACUUUAGCCGGAUCCAUCUGAACCUUUCCAGGAGCUACGAUAAAGCCCAGGAAGGAGACAGUAGUGGCAUGGAACUCACUCUUUUCCGCCUUGACAUAUAGCCCAUUGUCCAAAAGGCGCUGUAGGACGAGCUCGACCUGUCUCUUAUGGGUGUCAAGGUCGGGUGAGUGGAUCAAGAUGUCAUCAAGCGAGCGAUCUUGUCUUCAGCCGAGGACAUUGUCCCACAAACAAGGUCUCAGCAGUUUUGUACUUCAAAUAACCCUCCACCAACUUCAGAGCUUUGGCCUCAAUGCUGUUUUUUAGACGGUGACGCCCCGUGGACUCUGGGAAAAGUCCCCAGUAACACGACUUAGUCUGACACUAGAAUUAAACUCUCAUAGUCCCGUCCUUAUUGUCCACAAACAACGUCCACUAGGUCUGUCAAAAUGCUCAAAAAUGACCUUCGAACAUUCCCUUUAAAAAAACACACAUAUUCUCAUUGCGCUUUAAAUGAACGACAACAAUAAAUAAAUGCUGAUCAAGAGUUUUGUGCAAUUUAAGGUUGUGAUUCUUGUCCCAAAUAUUCAAUCACAAUCAGUGAUUGAAUCAAUUAUUAUUAACAUUAAUUGUUAAUAAUAAAGUAACGACAUUGAACGCUCCCAGCGAGCUGUGCUGGUAAACAUGCAACUUUUCCUUGAAACAGCAAAUAAUCCAACCAGUGCAUGAAGCUGUUGUAGUCUAUUUAAUUCAUGCAAUAUACCGUCAGUAGAGUAGCGACGAGCCCACACUAGUAAUGUUUCUGUUAACGUUAAAUAAAAUGAGCCACACAAUUCCAAGAAAUGUGACGACAAAGAACUUUUACCCGGAAGUUCAUAAAAAAUAAAGUGCCAUUAAAAACGACAGAGGCUACUUACAUUCUUUGUGCUUGUAUAAAUAGGGAAAAACCUGAGUGCAAUUCAUUCCAUUGUCAGGGGUUGUGAGGAGCUUUCAGUGCGCGGUCACUGUCGGGUCUACAGGUUAUUUGCCGUCCACAUUUGAAGGGGCCAGUGCCGACCUAUUUUUAUUGACUAUAUUCCAGCGUUCAGAGCGGACUGCGGAUCCGGGGAUGGAGAGAUAUUUAUUUCCAUCUGGGCAACGUGAGGGGAUCGCCCAGAGCCCAAAGCUUUGCACCACAUGAGAGGAUUUAGUUGAGCAGCUAUUGGAGACUCUCUUUUUGAAGCAGCAGAUUGAUGUCCUGGUCUGGGCUGUCCCUGCAGGACGUGUCUCCAAAGAGACACCCCACAGCAGUUGAAGCAGUUGAAGCAGUUUUCUCAGCAGGUUGCUGAUCACGGGGUUCACUGCCUGCCACAUUCACUGGUUUCAUCUCCUCCAGUAGAGCCACCUGCUGCUCUUUUAAAUGAAUGAGGCCAUGAAAGCCUGGAUCCAGAUAACUGGCUUUGUUAAGCAGCUUAAAUGCAUCCUUUUCCUCGCUAUACCGCUUCUCCACAUCUGUGAUGGUCUAUGUCUUCAUCUGGUUCUGGUUCGCCUGCCUUUGCUUGUUCACAACAUGUUUUAAAGGCCGUUGGACAUUUGUCAGUUGAAAGUGCUUCUGUUGCCCCUUUAAAGGGUUGAAGGACCUCUUGUACCUGCAAUGAAUAACAUAAUAUAAUAUGCGUUGAUAUCAGAUUGACAGGUUUGCAUUUAUCCAUGGUGUAAAUAGGGCCCGUCCUUCUACCUAUUGUUAGGACCGUUUGCAUUUGUCCAGCCUGUCA
Non-coding RNA from Gasterosteus aculeatus aculeatus (three-spined stickleback), 3861 nucleotides. Lineage: Eukaryota; Metazoa; Chordata; Actinopteri; Perciformes; Gasterosteidae. The record is from RefSeq and is a predicted model, not a curated record.